GUCGAACAGCAGCGGCACGGACUUCGGUCUGGUGGCGAGUGGCGAACAGGUGAGUAAUGUAUCGGAACGUGCCUAGUAGCGGGGGAUAACUACGCGAAAGCGUAGCUAAUACCGCAUACGCCCUUCGGGGAAAGCGGGGGACCUUCGGGCCUCGCACUAUUAGAGCGGCCGAUAUCGGAUUAGCUGGUUGGUGGGGUAACGGCUCACCAAGCGACGAUCGUAGCUGGUUUGAGGAGGACGACCAGCCACACUGGGACUGAGACACGGCCCAGACUCCUACACGGGAGGCAGCAGUGGGGAAUUUUGGACAAUGGAAACCCUGAUCGCUCAUCCGGCAUUAUUGCGACAGAAGGCCUUCGGGUUGUAAAGCACUUUUUGGCAGGAAAGAAGCAGCUGCGGGAUAAUACGUGCAGCCUGACGGUACCUACCAGAAUAGCACCGGCUAACUACGUGCCCAGCCGCGGUGUCGUAGGGUGCAAGCGUUAAUCGGAAUUACUGGGCGUAAAGCUGCGCAGGCGGUUCGGAAGAAAGAUGUGAAAUCCCAGAGCUUAACUUUGGAACUGCAUUUUCCCAACUACCGAGCUAGAGUGUGUCAGAGGUGGAAUUCCGCGUGUAGCAGUGAAAUGCGUAGAUAUGCGGAGGAACACCGAUGGCAACGGCCUCGCAGGAUAACACUGACGCUCAUGCACGAAAGCGUGAGCAAACAGGAUUAGAUACCCUGGUAGUCACGCCUAAACUGAUGUCAACUAGCUGUUGAGGCCUUCGGGCCUUGGUAGCGCAACUAACGCGUGAAGUUGACCGCCUGGGGAGUACGGUCGCAAGAUUAAAACUCAAAGGAAUUGACAGGGGACCCCUAAGCGGUGGAUGAUGUGGAUUAAUUCGAUGCAACGCGAAAAACCUUACCUACCCUUGACAUGUCUGGAAUCUCGAAGAGAUUUGGGAGUGCUCGCAAGAGAACCGGAACACAGGUGCUGCAUGGCUGUCGUCAGCUCGUGUCGUGAGAUGUUGGGUUAAGUCCCGCAACGAAGCGCAACCCUUGUCAUUGCGUUUGCCGAAGAGGGCACUCUAAUGAGACUGCCGGUGACAAACCGGAGGAAGGUGGGGAUGACGUCAGUCCUCAUGGCCCUUGUGGGUAGGGGCUUCACACGUCAUACAAUGGUCGGGACAGAGGGUCGCCAACCCGCGAGGCCAAUCAGAAACGAUCGUAGUCCCGGAUCGCAGUCUGCAACUCGACUGCGUGAAGUCGGAAUCGCUAGUAAUCGCGGAUCAGCAUGUCGCGAGUGAAUUACGUUCCCGGGUCUUGUACACACCGCCCGUCACCUGCUUGGGAGUGGGUUUGCAGAAGUAGUUAGCCUAACCGUAAGGAGGGGCGAUUAUACGGUAGGAUUCAUGACUGGGGUGAAGUCGUAACAAGGUAG
RNAcentral lists this ribosomal RNA (1418 nucleotides) under uncultured Bordetella sp. Its description in RNAcentral is "partial 16S-23S ribosomal RNA intergenic spacer". It matches the Rfam family "Bacterial small subunit ribosomal RNA". Lineage: Bacteria; Pseudomonadati; Pseudomonadota; Betaproteobacteria; Burkholderiales; Alcaligenaceae. The record is from RNAcentral.